Molecule: ribosomal RNA, 465 nt
Filed under: uncultured bacterium
Lineage: Bacteria
Description: partial 16S ribosomal RNA
Rfam family: Bacterial small subunit ribosomal RNA
Source: RNAcentral
GACGAACGCUGGCGGCGUGCUUAACACAUGCAAGUCGUACGGUAAGGCCCUUUCGGGGGUACACGAGUGGCGCACGGGUGAGUAACACGUGAGUAACCUGCCCACAACUUUGGGAUAACGCUAGGAAACUGGUGCUAAUACUGGAUAUGUGCUCCUGCUGCAUGGUGGGGGUUGGAAAGCUCCGGCGGUUGUGGAUGGACUCGCGGCCUAUCAGCUUGUUGGUGGGGUAGUGGCCUACCAAGGCGGCGACGGGUAGCCGGCCUGAGAGGGUGACCGGCCACAUUGGGACUGAGAGACGGCCCAGACUCCUACGGGAGGCAGCAGUGGGGAAGAUUGCACAAUGGGCGUAAGCCGGAUGCAGCAACGCCGCGUGCGGGAUGACGGCCUUCGGGUUGUAAACCGCUUUCAGCAGGGACGAAGCUUUUUGUGACGGUACCUGCAGAAGAAGCACCGGCUAACUACGUG